CCGAUUAGGUAGUUGGUGAGGUAACGGCCACCAAGCCGACGAUCGGUAGCCGGUCUGAGAGGAUGAACGGCCACAUUGGAACUGAGACACGGUCCAGACUCCUACGGGAGGCAGCAGUGGGGAAUCUUCCGCAAUGGGCGAAAGCCUGACGGAGCAACGCCGCGUGAGUGAAGACGGCCUUCGGGUUGUAAAACUCUGUGAUUCGGGACGAAAGAUAAGUAGACGAAUAAUCUGCAUAAGUGACGGUACCGAAAAAGCAAGCCACGGCUAACUACGUGCCAGCAGCCGCGGUAAAU
RNAcentral lists this ribosomal RNA (296 nucleotides) under uncultured Dialister sp. RNAcentral's name for it is "partial 16S ribosomal RNA". It matches the Rfam family "Bacterial small subunit ribosomal RNA", at positions 237 to 525 of the family's 1533-position model. Lineage: Bacteria; Bacillati; Bacillota; Negativicutes; Veillonellales; Veillonellaceae. The record is from RNAcentral.